GGCGUGCUUAACACAUGCAAGUCGAACGCUGAAGCUCCCAGCUUGCUGGGGGUGGAUGAGUGGCGAACGGGUGAGUAACACGUGAGUAACCUGCCCCGAACUCUGGGAUAAGCGCUGGAAACGGCGUCUAAUACUGGAUAUGUCCUAUCACCGCAUGGUGUGUAGGUGGAAAGAAUUUCGGUUCGGGAUGGACUCGCGGCCUAUCAGCUAGAUGGUGAGGUAAUGGCUCACCAUGGCGACGACGGGUAGCCGGCCUGAGAGGGUGACCGGCCACACUGGGACUGAGACACGGCCCAGACUCCUACGGGAGGCAGCAGUGGGGAAUAUUGCACAAUGGGCGCAAGCCUGAUGCAGCAACGCCGCGUGAGGGAUGACGGCCUUCGGGUUGUAAACCUCUUUUAGUAGGGAAGAAGCGAAAGUGACGGUACCUGCAGAAAAAGCACCGGCUAACUACGUGCCAGCAGCCGCGGUAAUACGUAGGGUGCAAGCGUUGUCCGGAAUUAUUGGGCGUAAAGAGCUCGUAGGCGGCUUGUCGCGUCUGCUGUGAAAACCAGAGGCUCAACCUCUGGCCUGCAGUGGGUACGGGCAAGCUAGAGUGCGGUAGGGGAGAUUGGAAUUCCUGGUGUAGCGGUGGAAUGCGCAGAUAUCAGGAGGAACACCGAUGGCGAAGGCAGAUCUCUGGGCCGUAACUGACGCUGAGGAGCGAAAGCAUGGGGAGCGAACAGGAUUAGAUACCCUGGUAGUCCAUGCCGUAAACGUUGGGAACUAGAUGUAGGGCCUGUUCCACGGGUUCUGUGUCGUAGCUAACGCAUUAAGUUCCCCGCCUGGGGAGUACGGCCGCAAGGCUAAAACUCAAAGGAAUUGACGGGGGCCCGCACAAGCGGCGGAGCAUGCGGAUUAAUUCGAUGCAACGCGAAGAACCUUACCAAGGCUUGACAUAUACGAGAACACUGUAGAGAUACAGGA
Molecule: ribosomal RNA, 966 nt
Filed under: Leucobacter chromiiresistens
Lineage: Bacteria; Bacillati; Actinomycetota; Actinomycetes; Micrococcales; Microbacteriaceae
Description: bacterial SSU rRNA
Rfam family: Bacterial small subunit ribosomal RNA
Source: RNAcentral